CCUACGGGAGGCAGCAGUGAGGAAUAUUGGUCAAUGGGCGGGAGCCUGAACCAGCCAAGUCGCGUGAGGGAAGACGGUCCUAUGGAGUGUAAACCGCUUUAGGCGGGGAGCAAGGCCGGGCACGCGUGCCCGGAGGGAGAGGACCCGCAGAAGAAGCAGCGGCGAACUCCGUGCCAGCAGCCGCGGUAAUACGGAGGAGGCGAGCGUUAGCCGGAUUGAUGGGGUUGAAAGGGUGCGUAGGCGGAUUUUUAAGUCAGCGGUAAAAUGUCCGGGCUCAACCCGGGCCGGCCGUUGAAACUGGGGAUCUUGAGUGGGCGAGCAGUAUGCGGCAUGCGUGUUGUAGCGG
Molecule: ribosomal RNA, 346 nt
Filed under: uncultured bacterium
Lineage: Bacteria
Description: partial 16S ribosomal RNA
Rfam family: Bacterial small subunit ribosomal RNA
Source: RNAcentral